Molecule: long non-coding RNA, 2430 nt
Organism: Clupea harengus (Atlantic herring)
Lineage: Eukaryota; Metazoa; Chordata; Actinopteri; Clupeiformes; Clupeidae
Source: Ensembl
GUUUUGGGGGGGUUUGCCGAGUGUCGAAGCGUCUAAGACUAAGAUUUUCUCCGUCUUCUCGUUUGUUUCAGGCACCGAGCGUCACGAGCUCACGUCCUGGAGAAGUUUCCACUCCAUCUUCAAGUUCUUUGCGGACGCACUGGAGGCCCAGGAGAACUCGGACCAGCAGCCCUCCACCACCGUCACCACCCGCAGUGCCAAUAGAAUCAAACACGACGAGAUUUAACACCAAUGCCAAAGCCUAAAGACUUCUAGUCCCAGCCAGACAAAUGUCUAUCCUAUGCCCUGCUGUGUCACCCUCUCACUCACUCCUUCUCUCCCUCCUCUCCUAUACAUCUCUCUCUCUCUCUCUCUCUCUCAAUGUAUGUAUGGGGGUGGGGGUGGGUGUGUGCAUUUCUCACUUUUUACAGUGAAAAUGAUCCUCUCCUUCAGGCCUCAAAACAUAGUAUCAGAUUGUUGAAUCCAGGGUGUAUACAUCAAACUAACGUUUUGUAUUACUUCUAGAUGAGUGCAACUGUCAAAGCAAUAUGGCUUCAGUGCGUGCGCCUCCCGUGGGCUCUAGUCUGGAUGUGGUGGCGGCUAUCGCUGCCGAGAUUAAGCAUGACAGGCGCUCCCGCGCAGUGCCUCGCGCAGUGCCUCGCGGUGCACCUCUAAUUGUCCUGACAUGGGCCUGAACUGAGCUAAUGCUGGGGAUGCACAUCUCCCCAGGGUCCUAAUGCUAGCCUUUUUAAACUCCGGCUCCUCCCGUUAGACAUUCACCGAUUCUUUCUCCGUCCGGAGCCCUUUUCACCUCUCAUCGGCGAGAACACUUGCUCACUGUCAACACUUGCUCACUGUCAUAUUAUGUGUCGAACUGCUGCUUUUGGCGGGGUUAGAUUUCGUGUUGAAGUUUCUAGCGAUUUUAUAAAGAAUGGUCGAAAAAUGACAGACAGACAUGGACCAUCCCACUUUGGUAAAUCCUGUCGAGUUUUAAAUCACUUAAGCCAGCCGUCAGGAUGAGAUGAAGGAAUGUUGAGUUUUAAGAGAUAGUAAAGAGUCCAUUCAAUAGUCGGGCGAUUUCCGGAGAUCCCUGCCAUGCGUCGGGACAAGAGCAGUUCUAAUAAUAUUAUCUUAAGUAUAAAUGAGGAGUCUUAAGAUGUUUGCACAUUGUACUUUCAGUUUUCGAAGGAUCACGCUGCUCGUACCCACAUUCAGACAUAGCUUUGACAGUCUCGUGUCUCGCUCAAACUCACAAAAUGUCACUUUUUUUGGCACAAACAAGACGCAUUGUUUCUGGGACAACGUCAUCUCUCCAGAGCUUGAAGGCAUGCCUGUCCAAUCUGUCCUCCCAUCAAUCAGAUUUUAAAGUUGUAUAAAUCUCAUAUGGUUUCCUCCCUUAAAAAUGAACCGUUCCUAUUUUUCUGACCUUCUAGCUUUAUAUUCAACCAGGUAAAUGUAAUGCCGCCUUCACAACGUUAUUGUUCCAAUCAUUGAAUAAUGCUGCUAUAUUAGCAUGUUUAAUAGUCUAAACAAUACACCACAUCAGUACACACUCUUUAGGUACACGCAAAGGAACGGUAAUGGUUCUUUUUUUUUAAAUCGGAUGCGCAUUUUGGGCUCAAUUAUGAGUUUGUGUGUUUUUUUUAAAUGCAGCCAUUUGAAACAUGCAUUCCAUUUAGUUAAAGGUAGCCUAGGUUUUGUUGCAGGCCUAGUUCAGUGCGGGGGAAAAGGCUAACCCAUUUAUUAUUUCAAUAUGUUGCCUUAGGAAUAAAUCAGACACACCAAGGACACACCGAGGAAAGGCUAUAGUAUAACAAGCCAUACGCACGCAUAUCCUUCAGGCCCGAUGGAGGCAGCCUUAAAGCAAAUCAAAAGCUCAUUUGAUAUGUAAAUUGCGACUAAUUUUAACAUUUUCUCUUUCAAAUAUUUUUAAUCAAAUCGUAUGUACUUUUUUUUGAAGCAUUAACUCCCAUUUACAAUUAGGAUCAUCAAGUAGAAGCAUCCUUCUGGGUGGCCAAUUGUAAUAUCUUUGAUGUUAAAUUGCCGAUGUCCUUUUUUUUUUAGGUAUGUUGACAAACUUCACAUUGAGAUUUUACAAAUUAGAAGUACACAGAUGUUGUCUUUUAUUUUUGUUUUAUUUCGUCUUCUGUGAUCACCCUACAAGUAUAUUUCUAAAUGUAUUUUCAGUAUACAUUCAUUGUAAUUAGUAUUAAUGAAUAAAAUAUUUUUAAUGUGAAUGUGCUGUGUAUGUGUUGUGAUGUGUAGGCCUAUGCUGCUGUUGCUAGAUCAAUGUCUUUUACUCCAGUUAAAAGUUUCAACUGGUAUUAUUUUACCGAGACAACAGAGGUAUUUCCACGGAAGCUCAAAAAAGUUAUCUAGUCUGCCUUCUGGGAUGUUCUUGAAUGGAGAGCAACGACGUGUUCAGUCCAUGGCUUCUUUCAAGGUGACUCG